RNAcentral lists this ribosomal RNA (301 nucleotides) under uncultured bacterium. RNAcentral describes it as "partial 16S ribosomal RNA". It matches the Rfam family "Bacterial small subunit ribosomal RNA", at positions 509 to 810 of the family's 1533-position model. The record is from RNAcentral.
CAGCGCCGCGGUAAUACGAAGGGUGCAAGCGUUACUCGGAAUUACUGGGCGUAAAGCGUGCGUAGGUGGUGGUUUAAGUCCGUUGUGAAAGCCCUGGGCUCAACCUGGGAAUUGCAGUGGAUACUGGGUCACUAGAGUGUGGUAGAGGAUAGUGGAAUUUCCGGUGUAGCAGUGAAAUGCGUAGAGAUCGGAAGGAACGUCUGUGGCGAAGGCGACUAUCUGGGCCAACACUGACACUGAGGCACGAAAGCGUGGGGAGCAAACAGGAUUAGAUACCCCAGUAGUCCCUGUCUCUUAUCCC